This 492-nucleotide ribosomal RNA is filed under the name uncultured bacterium. RNAcentral's name for it is "partial 16S ribosomal RNA". It matches the Rfam family "Bacterial small subunit ribosomal RNA", at positions 29 to 507 of the family's 1533-position model. The record is from RNAcentral.
AGUGAACGCUGGCGGUAGGCCUAACACAUGCAAGUCGAACGGCAGCACAGUAAGAGCUUGCUCUUACGGGUGGCGAGUGGCGGACGGGUGAGGAAUACAUCGGAAUCUACUUUUUCGUGGGGGAUAACGUAGGGAAACUUACGCUAAUACCGCAUACGACCUACGGGUGAAAGCAGUGGAUCUUCGGACCUUGCGCGAUUGAAUGAGCCGAUGUCGGAUUAGCUAGUUGGCGGGGUAAAGGCCCACCAAGGCGACGAUCCGUAGCUGAUCUGAGAGGAUGAUCAGCCACACUGGAACUGAGACACGGUCCAGACUCCUACGGGAGGCAGCAGUGGGGAAUAUUGGACAAUGGGCGCAAGCCUGAUCCAGCCAUACCGCGUGGGUGAAGAAGGCCUUCGGGUUGUAAAGCCCUUUUGUUGGGAAAGAAAAGCAGCAGGUUAAUACCCCGCUGUUCUGACGGUACCCAAAGAAUAAGCACCGGCUAACUUCGUG